UGGGGCGGUUUUUAUAAAAAAAUUAACUGUAAGUUAAAUUAAAAUAUAAAUAUAUAGUUUAAU
RNAcentral lists this ribosomal RNA (63 nucleotides) under Crangon crangon. Its description in RNAcentral is "partial 16S ribosomal RNA". Lineage: Eukaryota; Metazoa; Arthropoda; Malacostraca; Decapoda; Crangonidae. The record is from RNAcentral.